GAGGGUAUAGCUCAGAGGUAGAGUGUGUGCUUAGCAUGCACAAGGUCCUGGGUUCAAUACCCAGUACCUCCA
RNAcentral lists this transfer RNA (72 nucleotides) under Camelus bactrianus (Bactrian camel). It matches the Rfam family "tRNA". From Rfam's summary of the family: Transfer RNA (tRNA) molecules are approximately 80 nucleotides in length. Lineage: Eukaryota; Metazoa; Chordata; Mammalia; Artiodactyla; Camelidae. RNAcentral also lists the same sequence under 2 other names. The record is from Rfam by way of RNAcentral.